Molecule: non-coding RNA, 24 nt
Filed under: Arabidopsis thaliana (thale cress)
Lineage: Eukaryota; Viridiplantae; Streptophyta; Magnoliopsida; Brassicales; Brassicaceae
Source: RNAcentral
UAUAUGUUAAGGCUUUGAAUGGAU